This 849-nucleotide ribosomal RNA is filed under the name Lactiplantibacillus plantarum. RNAcentral describes it as "bacterial SSU rRNA". It matches the Rfam family "Bacterial small subunit ribosomal RNA", at positions 57 to 875 of the family's 1533-position model. Lineage: Bacteria; Bacillati; Bacillota; Bacilli; Lactobacillales; Lactobacillaceae. The record is from RNAcentral.
GCAGUCGACGACUCUGGUAUUGAUUGGUGCUUGCAUCAUGAUUUACAUUUGAGUGAGUGGCGAACUGGUGAGUAACACGUGGGAAACCUGCCCAGAAGCGGGGGAUAACACCUGGAAACAGAUGCUAAUACCGCAUAACAACUUGGACCGCAUGGUCCGAGUUUGAAAGAUGGCUUCGGCUAUCACUUUUGGAUGGUCCCGCGGCGUAUUAGCUAGAUGGUGGGGUAACGGCUCACCAUGGCAAUGAUACGUAGCCGACCUGAGAGGGUAAUCGGCCACAUUGGGACUGAGACACGGCCCAAACUCCUACGGGAGGCAGCAGUAGGGAAUCUUCCACAAUGGACGAAAGUCUGAUGGAGCAACGCCGCGUGAGUGAAGAAGGGUUUCGGCUCGUAAAACUCUGUUGUUAAAGAAGAACAUAUCUGAGAGUAACUGUUCAGGUAUUGACGGUAUUUAACCAGAAAGCCACGGCUAACUACGUGCCAGCAGCCGCGGUAAUACGUAGGUGGCAAGCGUUGUCCGGAUUUAUUGGGCGUAAAGCGAGCGCAGGCGGUUUUUUAAGUCUGAUGUGAAAGCCUUCGGCUCAACCGAAGAAGUGCAUCGGAAACUGGGAAACUUGAGUGCAGAAGAGGACAGUGGAACUCCAUGUGUAGCGGUGAAAUGCGUAGAUAUAUGGAAGAACACCAGUGGCGAAAGGCGGCUGUCUGGUCUGUAACUGACGCUGAGGCUCGAAAGUAUGGGUAGCAAACAGGAUUAGAUACCCUGGUAGUCCAUACCGUAACGAUGAAUGCUAAGUGUUGGAGGGUUUCCGCCCUUCAGUGCUGCAGCUAACGCAUAAGCAUCCGCUGG